RNAcentral lists this long non-coding RNA (3197 nucleotides) under Solanum lycopersicum (tomato). RNAcentral describes it as "long non-coding RNA (SLYC_LNC001186)". The record is from RNAcentral. Lineage: Eukaryota; Viridiplantae; Streptophyta; Magnoliopsida; Solanales; Solanaceae.
GCCAUUGGUAGCCCUAAUAUUUUGAUUUUCAUAUUAAGAACAAUGUUGGUGCUCUCUAUUUGACGACUUCAUCAUCUUCUUCAAGAAAAUAAGGUAGGAAUUCAUCUUUUUAUCUUUUAAUUUCCCGUAGAAACGUUAAUUUAAAGUUUUUUAUGGUUUAAUUUCUUCUCAAUUUUGUGAUUAGUUUUUGAUUGAAAAAUAUCAAAUACGAUGUUCAAUCGUAUUUGUUAUGAUGAGAAUGAUCCGAUGUUGCGAGUGAAACUGCGAUGCAAACAUGGUGACUUACUAUCAAUGCAAACUUCAUGGUCGAAGCAUAAAUCUAGCUCGAAGAUUUUGAUCUUGUCCACGGUAUCGUGUAUGUUUACUAAUUCUUUUAUGGAGAUAUUUUGUUUAUGUAUUUUUCUUUAAUUUGUGGGUUAAAGUAUUCAUCACUCCCCUGAACUUGAAGCUUUUUAUUUGGUGUACACUUAAACUAUAUUCUGUUUUAAUUACCCUCUCAAACUUGUUUAUUCCACUAUCGCGUACACCUUUUUGUCUGUUGUUCCUAGUGUGACUACACACGCGCAUCAGCUGGCAAAAAUAGUGAUGAUGUGGAUUUCCACCUAGAUAAAUAAUAGCCACCUAGAUAAAUUAAAAUGACAAAAAAUAAAUAUCAUACUCCAACUCCUUUUCCGGUCGACGUCAAUCUCCACCACCAACCACUGUAUCUCCUCUUCUCAUCUCUCUUUCCGAUGCAAAAUCAAUUCUUCACUCUAACUUUCUUUCCGCCGCAAAAAAAACACGGUUUCUUCCAGCUCACAUAACACUCCAUCUCCUCUCACCUUGCUCAAUCAGCUGAAUCGGAAUUCUUAUUCAUUUUAACGAUGAGAAACAACUCUGCUACCCGAAGAACUGGCCGUUGGGCUUCAAUAAUGAUGACGAUGACGACGGUGAUGUCGUCUGCGGCCGGUCAAUAUUAAGAAAAUAGAGAUUUUACUUUUUUUUUUUUUACUGUUGUAGCUUUAUGAAGUGACAAAAUAUCACACCCCUCACGUGCCUAGUAGAGUGUGAUUUCAAUUUCUACGCCAGGUGGACAGAAAAGGUGCACGCAUUGGAUGAAUAAACACGUUCGGGAGGGUAAUUCAAACAAAAUGAAAUUUACGUGUACACCGAACCGGCAAACUAUUAUGUUCAUCAAUUAAAGUAUCUAGUAUCUUAUAAAAGUUUUUGUCGCAUACCAUGUGAUAUAGUUGUUGUCUUAUGAAAGUAUCUAGUAUCUUAUAAAAGUUUUAUCGUAAUAUAAAAUAUCAAACAUUUUUAUACAAAAUUAUUUUAUGAUCAAUCACUAUUUUUUCAAAUCUAUUUUUAUAUGUAUGUUGUGACAUAAUAUUUUCUUAAAUUAAGAUGAACACAACAUAACUGAUAAUUCAUACUUAAAAGAAUUCAUAGUCAAUAUAAAUCUAAAAAAGAAAAAAAAUAUGAAACAAUACAUAGCCAAUAAAGAAGGAAGACGAAAAUACACACGAAACAGUGAGACCAGUUCAUGCAAAUAACUACAAAAUAAAAAGAAGAACAGGGGCAAACAUUGGGUGAAAGAAGAAAGGGAACGAUGUUUGGAACUCAAAAAAGUAUUAUACCACAAACAUGAAUUCACCAAAAAACUAAAAAAGUGUUCUUCAUGACAUCUCUCAGGUUAGCCAAAAAGGAGCAAUCAAGGAAUGAUGAUUUCUGAGGGUUGUCCCAUCAAGAACUUUAAGCAAUCCCUGUAGCAUCAAACAACAAAACUAAACUUUGUAAGUUUCUCAAAAUGAGUUAAAAGUUAUCUAUGUAAUGUGAAAAUUCAACAUUUAAGAUGUAUGCAGAAGGUAGAAAUCCUACAAGAAAGCAUGUUUUUCUUUACUAUUAGCAUCUACAGUCUACACUAACAGCAAUAUUUGAACUACUAAAACAAAAAACCCUGUGUUGUUACGAAUAGAAAUACUAUGCAGCUCUAGCGAACACUCUUUCCAUAUUAUCGACAAAGUAAUACUAAAGGAGCUACUUCCGCGCUCUCAUUCUCUUCCUAGCCGUGCUUGAUAUCAUUCACACACACUCCACACUGUAUACAGAUGCCAACAUUAUGACCAGUCCAUUCAUAGUUCAAAGAUUGAAAGACAAAUUAACAAAGGAGGAAAUUACCAAUUGAAUAAAGGCAACAAAUGUUCUAAUACUUUCAUCAGUAAUAAGAGGGGAGGGGGAAACAAUUGUCUCAUAGAAGAUAAGUAAACCAGUUCAGGAGUCGAUUUUCUAAGUUUCCCUUGCUAAAAGUUAUCAUAGCUCGACAGGAUCGAUAUGGUAUUACUAUUUUCUUGUGACAAGAAUGACAUAAUCCAGGUUGCGUACAUUCUUCUGUUUUCGAGAAUGACAAAUGACAAAAGAAAAAAAAUGAAAUGAACAAAGGUCCAUAUAUGUCAAAAAUUCCAUAUGUUCUUCUGUUAGUAUUUCACACGUAUCAUUAUUGAUUCAAAGUUCAGCUUAAAAGCGCCAAGACCAGGGGAAUACAGUUCUGAGUAUGUGUUCAUCCUUUUUAUUAAAUUUCAAAGACUCUUCCGCAAGAUCAAUAGAAUUGGACCAAUGUUUUCUUAAAUAGUGCUAUUGGCUAAGCCAGCAUGUGUCUCGACUAGUUCACAAAUCAGUUUGUUACAACCACAAGUCCAUUUGUUGGGGACCUUUGCACCAAUGCUAUUAUGGAAGUACGAAUACCUAGGAUACAUGUUAACUUCUCAACGGAUUCUCUAUCUUCUCUUCUUCUUCUUUUUGUCAUUUCAAUUAAUUUGUCUAUGUUAUAGGAUAAUACGAUGGUUAGAAAUACACAAGCAUCUCAACCAGUUGAACAGAAUUAACUAAAGUAAUCAGUAGACUUAGUUCAGACAGUAAUUAACACAUCAGAAUUAAUGUGCUAAGUCCCUCGAGUGCCUGUAUAACACGUACACGUGCACAUGAGAUAAGAAAACUUCUGAAGCAAUGACAACAUCUAAAAGUGGGAGCUGAGAACCUACACAUAGCAAGUAAAUAUAUGUAUAUGUAGUCGCAUAAACGGAUUAUAAUGAUAAAUUGAUCAUCAAACCUUGUGACUUUUUUGCGCGCUAAUUUAUCUUGAGCAUCUUGCUUCUUAACAGGUAGCAUCCCUCCGAUCAGAAAUAGGCUCUCUGAAUAAUCAACAACCACAUAUGAUUCAU